UACGGAGGGAGCUAGCGGUUGUUCGGAAUUACUGGGCGUAAAGCGCACGUAGGCGGCUUGUAAGUUAGAGGUGAAAGCCUGGAGCUCAACUCCAGAAUUGCCUUUAAGACUGCAUCGCUUGAAUCAUGGAGAGGCGGGUGGAAUUCCGAGUGUAGAGGUGAAAUUCGUAGAUAUUCGGAAGAACACCAGUGGCGAAGGCGGCCCGCUGGACAUGUAUUGACGCUGAGGUGGCGAAAGCGUGGGAGCAACAGGG
Molecule: ribosomal RNA, 253 nt
Filed under: uncultured bacterium
Lineage: Bacteria
Description: partial 16S ribosomal RNA
Rfam family: Bacterial small subunit ribosomal RNA
Source: RNAcentral